GAUGAACGCUAGCGGCAGGCUUAACACAUGCAAGUCGAGGGGCAGCAUGAUUUAACUUUCGGGUUAGAUUGAUGGCGACCGGCGCAAGGGUGCGUAACGCGUGAGCAACUUGCCCUUAUCAGGGGAAUAACCGUUGGAAACGACGACUAAUACCCCAUAGCAUCACUUCAAGGCAUCUUUUAGUGAUUAAAGAAUUUCGGAUAAGGAUAGGCUCGCGUGACAUUAGCUAGAUGGUGCGGUAACGGCGUACCAUGGCGACGAUGCUUAGGGGUUCUGAGAGGAAGGUCCCCCACACUGGUACUGAGAUACGGACCAGACUCCUACGGGAGGCAGCAGUGAGGAAUAUUGCACAAUGGGGGGAAACCCUGAUGCAGCGACGCCGCGUGAAGGAUGAAGGUCUUCGGAUCGUAAACUUUUGUCUUCAGGGACGAUAAUGACGGUACCUGAGGAGGAAGCCACGGCUAACUACGUG
This 472-nucleotide ribosomal RNA is filed under the name uncultured bacterium. RNAcentral describes it as "bacterial SSU rRNA". It matches the Rfam family "Bacterial small subunit ribosomal RNA", at positions 28 to 507 of the family's 1533-position model. The record is from RNAcentral.